This is a long non-coding RNA of Macaca fascicularis (crab-eating macaque), 2353 nucleotides long. NCBI's taxonomy places the organism in Eukaryota, Metazoa, Chordata, Mammalia, Primates, Cercopithecidae. The record is from Ensembl.
AAGCCAUAAUGGAGCAGCACUUUAGAGAUUUUCAGUUCAGAUGCCUCCCCUUUAAGUUUCUUUAAAUUAGAGCAUUUCCAGACUAAACUUUCUUUCCUGAACCAUGAACCAUUGGCCCCUCCUGUCAGAAAUUUAGAAUUAUUCCCAUGUCUAUGUAACUCAUAGUAAAUGUUGACAUUCAAUGAGGAAGAAAAAUAGCCUUAAAAAGAAAGCCUGCUGGUUCAGGGAAUAAUUUCUGUGCUUUUUCAGUUCAACACAUUUAAAAUGAGUUUUAUUUUGUGUGCUCAUAACAACUAAAGUUCAAUAUUAUGCUGUAUUCAAGUGUGUAGGUAUUGAACCUCAAAGGACUUUUUAAGUUUAACUUUGUAUGGAAAGUAUAUGAUUAUGUAGGUAGUCUUUGGAUAAUAAUGGGUUAUCAAGUGAUUUGAAAAACUAUCAGGCCCAUCUUAUUCUUUCUAAACCUCUUACUUUCCCUGUUCAGUCAUGAGAACUCUGUAUUUCCAUCAAGAAAGAGGAGGAAACAGCUUUAUUGAGAUAAUUCAAAUAGCUCAGAUAAUACAGGAAUGAGAGUCUAUUGUGAAAUUUGCAGUAGAUGUUCCUGGAAUGGAGCUAAGUAAAAAUUUUCCCCAGACUCCUGCCAUAUGUAAUCAUUCAAUACAACAAUUCUGUUCAAAAAUAAAUUUGUUAAUAAAUUUUCCAUUUAGAUGCAUCCAUGUGUCUCUAGAAGAGUGGUCAUCAACAAAUAAACUUAACAAAGUCAGGCAUAAAUAAACUAAAUUUAGGUGCCCCGGACUUGGAAAUAAGAUUAAGCUCUGUGAUUGAAAAUAUAGGACCAACACCUAAUAAAUGGAUAAAGUAGCUAUUUAGAGAUAUACACCACAGAAAGAGAAGGUAUUCAAGUUUGGGGCUAUAAAACUGGAGAAAUCAUGAAGUCCAAUGAAAGCAAGAUUGCCAUUGAAACGCAGUCUCAUCAAAGUUUAAUCAGAAUUGGGGUUGAUGUAAAAGAACACUGGAAUGUUGUCAUUUCAUCUGAAAAUGAAGUGUUUUCACAGAAGGAAGUUGGUUUACAUGGAGUUUAGUUAGGGAACCUUAAAACCAAGGAUUUGGCAGUGUUUAUCUAACUGUGUCCAGGAGAGAAAAAUACGGAAUCUGGCAGUCAUAUACAGAAUGUUGGGGACAAUCAUGAGAUUAAAGUCAUGUGUUGUUAUUUUGCCUAAGAUUUAGGAAUAUUUCACUUCACUCUCUCUGUCAGGAAUCCACAACAGAGCAAGGUCAGGAGACAGAGCAAAGCAAGUCAUUACUAUUACUUAGCUGGAGCUCUGGCCCCAAGCACUUCUGUGGACCUCUGGUCAAUCAGGAUAGACCAACUGGAGGAAGUGGAGGCCAAAGUAGCCACAGGCCAGAGCAGACCAAAUUACUAGUUCCGUCCAUUCUAUUACAAGUCCCAACACAAGUAGAUGUUACUGCUCCCGGGUCAGCAAAUGGGCACACAGAGUAGACCCACUGGCAACAGAGGAAAAGGAGCAAGGACAAGGAAAGAAGUUUGUGCCUUGGUGCCCAAUGCUGCCUUCCCCAGACCUUGGGCUGCUCAGAGCAGUAGCCAACCUGCAUGGGAGGAACACCCAAAACAGAGAGAUUUGGCCAGGCCUGUUGGUCAAGCAGAAUCUAAUAAGCUCAGAAUGAUCCUCCAAACUAGGUAACUUUUCUUCUGAUUAGAAAUUUUACUUCUCAAGUAAUUUUUAAAAUCAUAACUGAAUAUCCAAAAUGGCAGAUUUAAGUGUUUCACUCGCUGGAAAAGUUUAAAACGUCAUUGCAAAACAAUGCAUUGUUUUUCUGGUUUAUUUCCCAGUCUCCUAAGUUAAAUUGCUUAGUGCAUGUCAGUCUGUAAGGGAGGUUGUGAAGUGUAGUAGAAAGGAUGAGGGUUUGAAACCAUACUUACUUGAGUUCAGAUGCUGAUUCAGUCCCUUAUUACCACUGUGUUACCUUGGACAAGUCAUUUGAACAGUCUAUGAAUCUAAGUUUCCUCCACUUCUUACAAACAAACAAACAAAAAAAGUGGUAUAUGGGGAUUGUUAGGGUUAAAUGAAUAGCAUUUAGAAUGUGUGUAGCACACAGCUUUGCAAGCAAUAAGCACUCAAAAUAUUAGAUGUCUUCUACCUUUGGCUUCUUUCCCCUGAGAUCCUGACCAAUCCUCCAUGGACCAACAAAAUCAAACCUGUAUGACUGUACGAAUCUGCUAUGGAUUAGAGCAGGGUCCUGGAGGCCUACAAAGACAGUGUCCUUGGUGGGCUCUGCUGGACCCAUUAGCUAAACCAUUCUCUAAGUUGAAAAACAAAAACAAAAACAAAAAAAA